CCGAGACGCCGUCAGCAUGAGCCUC
This 25-nucleotide microRNA is filed under the name Equus caballus (horse). Its description in RNAcentral is "eca-miR-9052". The record is from miRBase by way of RNAcentral. Lineage: Eukaryota; Metazoa; Chordata; Mammalia; Perissodactyla; Equidae.